This 432-nucleotide ribosomal RNA is filed under the name uncultured bacterium. RNAcentral describes it as "partial 16S ribosomal RNA". It matches the Rfam family "Bacterial small subunit ribosomal RNA", at positions 29 to 507 of the family's 1533-position model. The record is from RNAcentral.
AACGAACGCUGGCGGCAUGCCUAACACAUGCAAGUCGAACGAGACCUUCGGGUCUAGUGGCGCACGGGUGCGUAACGCGUGGGAACCUGCCCUUAGGUUCGGAAUAACUCCCCGAAAGGGGUGCUAAUACCGGAUAAUGUCUUCGGACCAAAGAUUUAUCGCCUUUGGAUGAGCCCGCGUUGGAUUAGCUAGUUGGUAGGGUAAAAGCCUACCAAGGCGACGAUCCAUAGCUGGUCUGAGAGGAUGAUCAGCCACACUGGGACUGAGACACGGCCCAGCCUCCUACGGGAGGCGGAAGGGGGGAAUAUUGGACAAUGGCGAAAGCCUGAUCCAGCAAUGCCGCGUGAGUGAUGAAGGCCUUAGGGUUGUAAAGCUCUUUUACCCGGGAUGAUAAUGACAGUACCGGGAGAAUAAGCUCCGGCUAACUCCGUG